GUGCUCACUUUAGCAGCACAUGUACCACAAUUGGAACGAUACAGAGAAGACUAGCGUGGCCCCUGUGCAAGGAUGACUUGCAAAUUCAUGAAGCAUUCCAUAUUUAA
Diceros bicornis minor is the source of this 107-nucleotide small nuclear RNA. The record is from RefSeq and is a predicted model, not a curated record. Lineage: Eukaryota; Metazoa; Chordata; Mammalia; Perissodactyla; Rhinocerotidae.